RNAcentral lists this ribosomal RNA (756 nucleotides) under Escherichia coli. Its description in RNAcentral is "partial 23S ribosomal RNA". It matches the Rfam family "Bacterial large subunit ribosomal RNA", at positions 2166 to 2916 of the family's 2925-position model. Lineage: Bacteria; Pseudomonadati; Pseudomonadota; Gammaproteobacteria; Enterobacterales; Enterobacteriaceae. The record is from RNAcentral.
GGACGCCAGUCUGCAUGGAGCCGACCUUGAAAUACCACCCUUUAAUGUUUGAUGUUCUAACGUUGACCCGUAAUCCGGGUUGCGGACAGUGUCUGGUGGGUAGUUUGACUGGGGCGGUCUCCUCCUAAAGAGUAACGGAGGAGCACGAAGGUUGGCUAAUCCUGGUCGGACAUCAGGAGGUUAGUGCAAUGGCAUAAGCCAGCUUGACUGCGAGCGUGACGGCGCGAGCAGGUGCGAAAGCAGGUCAUAGUGAUCCGGUGGUUCUGAAUGGAAGGGCCAUCGCUCAACGGAUAAAAGGUACUCCGGGGAUAACAGGCUGAUACCGCCCAAGAGUUCAUAUCGACGGCGGUGUUUGGCACCUCGAUGUCGGCUCAUCACAUCCUGGGGCUGAAGUAGGUCCCAAGGGUAUGGCUGUUCGCCAUUUAAAGUGGUACGCGAGCUGGGUUUAGAACGUCGUGAGACAGUUCGGUCCCUAUCUGCCGUGGGCGCUGGAGAACUGAGGGGGGCUGCUCCUAGUACGAGAGGACCGGAGUGGACGCAUCACUGGUGUUCGGGUUGUCAUGCCAAUGGCACUGCCCGGUAGCUAAAUGCGGAAGAGAUAAGUGCUGAAAGCAUCUAAGCACGAAACUUGCCCCGAGAUGAGUUCUCCCUGACUCCUUGAGAGUCCUGAAGGAACGUUGAAGACGACGACGUUGAUAGGCCGGGUGUGUAAGCGCAGCGAUGCGUUGAGCUAACCGGUACUAAUGAACCGUGAGG